GAAGAACUCCAGUGCAAAGGUUCAAUGGGUAAAAACAAAACAAGUUAUUGAUAAGUGACUUGAAGCACUAAAGAAACACCAUUCCAAGUCUAGUGUGUGCUGCAAAUAUUUUAAGCAUAUAAUGCUAAUAUUACACGGAUAAGGAAGUUGAAUAUUAAACUCUUAAUGAAGUCAAUUGAAGGCUUAGACCUUAAAAGAAACUUCACCUAUGUGAACAUAAGGAGUGGUGCCGCUUCUAACAAAAACAUUUAUGAGGUUGGUUUUUGGAAAUGUUCAUGAA
Molecule: long non-coding RNA, 280 nt
Filed under: Elaeis guineensis (African oil palm)
Lineage: Eukaryota; Viridiplantae; Streptophyta; Magnoliopsida; Arecales; Arecaceae
Description: long non-coding RNA (EGUI_LNC013291)
Source: RNAcentral